GAUCGUGUGGGGCGCGGACGUCGUGGCCCUGCACGGGCUGGCCGACGUGUGGCGGCUGCUGACGGCCGUUCCGGCCGCCCGCGCGAUCG
RNAcentral lists this transfer RNA (89 nucleotides) under Streptomyces roseiscleroticus. RNAcentral describes it as "tRNA-Cys". Lineage: Bacteria; Bacillati; Actinomycetota; Actinomycetes; Kitasatosporales; Streptomycetaceae. RNAcentral also lists the same sequence under 1 other name. The record is from RNAcentral.